Long non-coding RNA from Ictalurus punctatus (channel catfish), 988 nucleotides. NCBI's taxonomy places the organism in Eukaryota, Metazoa, Chordata, Actinopteri, Siluriformes, Ictaluridae. The record is from Ensembl.
GUAACGGGUUUUUUUGAAUGGCUUUUUGGUUAAAUGCCUGAAGUAAGGUCUGGGGUUAACACAAGCUCUAGAUAUGUUCACGUUUUAUACAAUGGCGUAAAAUACAUCAGUAAGACCCCAGUCGGGAUUUUUUGAAAAGCUUUUAUGUGUCUUGAAAAAGCUGAUUGCUAACAAGUGGCUAAAUGGUACUACAGAGGUUGUCGAGGACAUUAAACGUCAUCACGCCGAACAGGAAAUCUCGUCUGCUACAGCCUCGUUGUGUUUAUACUAUUCCAACUCAAACUUUCCAACUUUUGGAUUUAUCCAUUUAUAGCAUUUUUUUAUUGCAUUGUGUUGUUUUUUUUUUUUAAAUUAGUUUUGUUUCAGGUUUGUUUCAGUCAUGGCUCCUAUUUACAAGUUUUAAGUGAAAACAUACCUUUUUUUUUAAAAGUCAUUACAUUCACUCAUAUUUUUAUUUGUAACCAUUGCUUUCAACGUAUUUGUUAUAGUAGUGACUAUAGCAGUAGUAGCAUUACAAUCCACGGUUUUGUUCACCCAUUUUUUCAUUGAUCUCUCUGCAAAUAUACACAUGUUCUAAUGCUGGAUGCCUUGCUUUUGAGUGCUUUAUACUCCAGGUGGUGGACAGAGACAUGGAGUUAAAGUGGGAGUUGCUUUAAUUACGGGUCGUGGGGAACCUGGACGGGGUGCCAAUCCAUCGCAGGGCACAAUCACAUACACAUUCACACACCCAUUCAUACAUUAUGCAUGCCUUUGGACUGGAGGAGGAAACCGGAGUACCUGGAGGAAACCUCCGCAGCACGGGGAGAACACGCAAACUCCACACACACAGGGCAGCGGCGGGAAUCAAACCCUCAACUCUGGAGGGUAUAUAAACAUUGUGGACAUUGUGAAUGCAGUGUCUGAGGGAGCUAAGCUGCUGUCUCGCUGUUUGGCUCAUAAAUAAAGAAGUUCAACAAGCUCUGUUGUACGCUGAAGUUUGUAUCCACGC